Molecule: long non-coding RNA, 1456 nt
Organism: Panthera uncia (snow leopard)
Lineage: Eukaryota; Metazoa; Chordata; Mammalia; Carnivora; Felidae
Exons: 3
Source: RefSeq, a predicted model, not a curated record
GCCCCGCCCCACUGGCGACGCUGUCGGAGCCAUUUCGCCGCCGCCUCCGAGCGAGCUGCGGUGUUUGCCCCGGGUCUCUCUGAGGAAGGCCGCGGUCGCGGACGGUCUUAAGAGGGCUGUGUUUUCUGGCACCAGGAAGAGAACGCGGUCUGAAGAAGACUCUUGAAUCAUGGGUGAUGUUAAGAAUUUUCUGUAUGCCUGGUGUGGCAAAAGGAAGAUGACCCCAUCCUAUGAAAUUAGAGCAGUGGGGAACAAAAACAGGCAAAAAUUCAUGUGUGAGGUUCGGGUGGAAGGUUAUAAUUACACUGGCAUGGGCAAUUCCACCAAUAAAAAAGAUGCACAAAGCAAUGCUGCCAGAGAUUUUGUUAACUAUUUGGUUCGGAUAAAUGAAGUAAAGAGUGAAGAAGUCCCAGCUGUUGGGGUAAGUACUCAUGGCCCAGCACUUGAAAUGUAUGUUACAAGGUCAUGCCUUGUAUAUAUUGCACGACUAGAUAAUUGCCAAAUUUUUUAUUACUUGCCAUAUGGAGACAUGGGAUGAUGAUUUUUCAAUGUUGUUUUCAAAUGUAUUAACGUGUUCCUUAGCGAACCUCAGAAUCUUGUUCUCUUAGAGCGCUUUCCUAAGAUUGGGAUUUCAUUCUCAUUAUGUACCUGACUUGUGAGUUUGAAAAAUUCCUUUAAUCUUUGUAUUUGUGGUUUUAUAUAUUUCAUUCAUUCAUAAACUAAUUUUCAGAGCCUGUUGUGCUUUGUAUACUUCUAAAGAUAACAUUUCAAACAGAAUGUAAAAAUCAGUAACACUUUAAGACACAGUGUUUACUCCCAGUGGCAGUUCCUUAUUACAGCAGAGAGAAAAUUUUGUUUCAUGCAAUGGCAUAAUCAUUCAUAAUCAUUUUGAUACCAUGAUAAUUUAAAUUAUAUUAUGUAAAUAUGCAACAUAGACUUCUGUCUAGUACUGAUUUUAAGAAAUAAACUUUAUCUAAUUAAAAAAUGAAAAUUUGAAUUUUUAUAUGAUCUUAAAUUUUAAAUCUAUAUGAUCUUAAAUCUUACAUGAUUUAAGAUAAAUACCUAAGGUAAUUUAAAUGAAAUACUCAGUUUUUAUAAAACUUACAGGAAUAAUAUCUAUAUCAAUUUCAACAACUUAUUGUCACUGUGUUUAUAUUUUGUGUUGUUGUAAAGGUUAAUAUAUAUGUUUUAUUCCCUUUCAUUGUUUUGACCCAGAAGUUAGGAGACUUACUUUCUAGUAUAUUGUACCACUAGAUAAUUGCAGAAUUUUUUAUUACAUUGGUUGGUCAAUCUGCAAAAUGAAGGGAUUAGAGGAGAUUAUCUUGAAGAUUCUUUCCACCUAUGAAAAGAAUGUUACAAAUAUCUUAUAAUUUGAAACACUGGCAUCUGCUCUAUCUGUUAUGACCUAUUCUGUAUCUUUUAACCUCUUCCUCUCUCUCAAAGUGUAAGUCUGCUU